AUGAAACCCAAAAUGAAACAGCCCCAAACGGAGGCAACAGAGGCGGAGACGCACGAGGAUAGCGAGGCGGUGGUCCCGCGGCAACAGGAGGUCGACGGCGGCGCGGCACGGGAAGAACAACAACAGGACGGGGUGGCUACCCUCGCCCUUAGCGUGGAGCAUGGGAGGCUGGAGGUGCCAUGGACAUCGGGCACACGAGGAGGAGCAGGGAAAGGAGGCCGGGCGGGCGACGUGCUUGUGCAGCAACGACUUAGGUCGUGGGCGGCGGAGGUUCGGCGCUGGAGAAAUAGGAAGGCCACAGUAGAGAAACGGGACUCCGACGACGAGGUGCAGUAG
This 336-nucleotide ribosomal RNA is filed under the name Triticum aestivum (bread wheat). RNAcentral describes it as "partial small subunit ribosomal RNA". The record is from RNAcentral. Lineage: Eukaryota; Viridiplantae; Streptophyta; Magnoliopsida; Poales; Poaceae.